GAUGAACGCUAGCGGCAGGCUUAAUACAUGCAAGUCGUGGGGCAGCAUGGGGUAGCAAUACUCUGAUGGCGACCGGCAAACGGGUGCGGAACACGUACGCAACCUUCCCAAAACUGGUGAAUAGCCCUCCGAAAGGAGGAUUAAUACACCGUAACAUAACGAAGUGGCAUCACUUUGUUAUUAUAGCUCCGGCGGUUUUGGAUGGGCGUGCGCCUGAUUAGGUAGUUGGCGGGGUAACGGCCCACCAAGCCUACGAUCAGUAACUGGUGUGAGAGCAUGACCAGUCACACGGGCACUGAGACACGGGCCCGACUCCUACGGGAGGCAGCAGUAAGGAAUAUUGGUCAAUGGACGCAAGUCUGAACCAGCCAUGCCGCGUGAAGGAUGAAGGUCCUCUGGAUUGUAAACUUCUUUUAUCUGGGACGAAAAAAGGGCUUUCUAGCUCACUUGACGGUACCAGAGGAAUAAGCACCGGCUAACUCCGUGCCAGCAGCCGCGGUAAAGU
This 505-nucleotide ribosomal RNA is filed under the name uncultured bacterium. RNAcentral's name for it is "bacterial SSU rRNA". It matches the Rfam family "Bacterial small subunit ribosomal RNA", at positions 28 to 526 of the family's 1533-position model. The record is from RNAcentral.